This 632-nucleotide long non-coding RNA is filed under the name Phasianus colchicus (ring-necked pheasant). RNAcentral describes it as "lncRNA (ENSPCLG00000011914.1)". The record is from RNAcentral. Lineage: Eukaryota; Metazoa; Chordata; Aves; Galliformes; Phasianidae.
CAGGGAUGUCAUAUUUAGUGUACUAUUUUGCCUUUUCUGUAGGAUUGAGUGUGUCCGUUGCAUUUAGUUAAGGCAAGUAUUUGGAAGAAAUAAGGGGCCAUUCCUUCCCUAUGAGCUAUAGAAAAAAGAGCACAUAGAAGAACCAAAGUGGAGGGAUUUAGAAGAUCCUUCUAGCAAGACUAACCCAGCAGACAGCCAUGGAGUUUCCCAGAGCCUGCUGGGAGCACUGUGACCAAAGGCAUACUUGGGGAACAGGGCUGGUGGAAGCUGUUGGGACAACUCUAUAGCACACGUGCUGGGGCACAGAUAGACAAGUGGAAAAUCGAAGAGGAAGGUUUUGAAGAGAGAAGAGGCAUCACCUGGGGUAUACUCCAGGUUUCAAGUCCUGCUGCAGUUUCCAGAUGUGCUGGCCAGCACAUACCUUCCUUAAACAGUAAUGGUGGACAGUUACUGUAAAAUGAACUCUCUGAAAGACCUCAGCCCUUUGGUGACUGCAGGAAAUAGCCCAUGUCUUUUUCAACAGGUAGAAGGACUUCACCAAAAUUAAGAAGUCUCAUCACCUUUAAAGAUAAAGGAGAAAAAAAAAAAAAAAGCAUUUGAUUCAUACUCCCAUUAUGUAAGUGAUGUUGGUA